GUGCACCCUUCAGCAGCACAUAUACUAAAAUUGGAAUGAUACAGAAAAGAUUAGCAUGGUCCCUGAACAAGGAUGACACACAAAUUUGUGAGGUGUUCCAUAUUUAA
This is a small nuclear RNA of Ursus americanus (American black bear), 107 nucleotides long. Lineage: Eukaryota; Metazoa; Chordata; Mammalia; Carnivora; Ursidae. The record is from Ensembl.